Molecule: ribosomal RNA, 253 nt
Filed under: uncultured bacterium
Lineage: Bacteria
Description: partial 16S ribosomal RNA
Rfam family: Bacterial small subunit ribosomal RNA
Source: RNAcentral
UACGUAGGUGGCAAGCGUUGUCCAGAUUUAUUGGGCGUAAAGCGCGUGUAGGCGGUCCGAUUAGUCGGCUGUGAAAGUCAAGGGCUCAACCCUUGAAUGCCGGUCGAUACUGUCGGACUAGAGUCCGGAAGAGGCAAGUGGAAUUCCCGGUGUAGCGGUGGAAUGCGCAGAUAUCGGGGGGAAUACCAGUGGCGAAAGCGGCACCCUGGCGUCGUACUGACGCUCAUGUGCGAAAGCGUGGGGAGCGAACGGG